UCCUACGGGGGGCAGCAGUGGGGAAUAUUGGGCAAUGGGCGCAAGCCUGACCCAGCCAUGCCGCGUGAGUGAUGAAGGCCUUCGGGUCGUAAAGCUCUGUGGGGAGGGAAGAAACAGCUUGUGGCUAACAUCCACGAGCCCUGACGGUACCUCCUUAGCAAGCACCGGCUAACUCCGUGCCAGCAGCCGCGGUAAUACGGAGGGUGCAAACGUUGCUCGGAAUCAUUGGGCGUAAAGCGCACGUAGGCGGCCUGUUAAGUCGGGUGUGAAAGCCCUGGGCUCAACCCAGGAAGUGCACUCGAAACUGGCAGGCUUGAAUAUGGAAGAGGGUUGCGGAAUUCCCGGUGUAGAGGUGAAAUUCGUAGAUAUCGGGAGGAACACCAGUGGCGAAGGCGGCAACCUGGGCCAAUAUUGACGCUGAGGUGCGAAAGCGUGGGGAGCAAACAGGAUUAGAUACCCCGGUAGA
RNAcentral lists this ribosomal RNA (466 nucleotides) under uncultured bacterium. Its description in RNAcentral is "bacterial SSU rRNA". It matches the Rfam family "Bacterial small subunit ribosomal RNA", at positions 337 to 794 of the family's 1533-position model. The record is from RNAcentral.